This is a long non-coding RNA of Quercus lobata, 1372 nucleotides long. RefSeq lists it as uncharacterized. NCBI's taxonomy places the organism in Eukaryota, Viridiplantae, Streptophyta, Magnoliopsida, Fagales, Fagaceae. The transcript has 3 exons. The record is from RefSeq and is a predicted model, not a curated record.
AUCCUCUCCAUUUCCUUUGAAAUGGAGAGGCUCCAGUACACGGUCAGGAUUUCGUCCAAAAUGAUCCACGCUCAAAAACUGGACACGUCAUUUAAAAUUUUAACACCACACUUAACUAGAGUUCAACGCACUUAACUGGGGUUUAACUCAACCGGGCAAAAAAAAACUCAAGUUAAACUCUUAACUCUCACCAGCCGUUCAAACUCUCUCUCUCAAAUUUCGAAGUUCAAACUCUCUCAACCUCCAUUUCUAGCAUACUCAACUCAAACCCAUCAGCAAAAACAAAGAAAAAACCUUAGCUCACCAGAGAUCCCGACACCCAUACACGCAUCCUUUUUAGACCCAGAUCAGAGAGAGAGUAAGGGUUGGGGUUUGGAGAGAAUUGGGUGUAAAGAGAGACAUUGAUGCUUUUCAGACCCAAAUCGGAGAAGGUUAGGGUUUGGGUUUGGAGAAAAUGGGGAAAGAGAGAAGUUGAUGAUCUUUCAGGUUUGAUCUAUGAAGGGAAAUGAGAUUGAGAGACAGAGAAAGAGAUUUUGGUCGAAGGAGAGAAGAAGCCACCAUCGGAGGUGGUGGUUGCGGUGAGCCAGCCUUGCCGAUUUGGUUCAGACCCAAAUCAGAGAAGGUUAGGGUUUGGGUUUGGGGAAAAUCGGGAAAGAGAGAAGUUGAUGCUCAAUCUCCAUGGCUACCGCUAGCAGCCGCUGUGUUCCGCUCCACCAAUUCCGACCGUGGUUCUGAUUGUUCUUGGCCGAGCUUCAUCUUGUAACCACACUACUGCCGGCGGCGGUGCAUAUAGACGGUGUUUACACCAUUGGUGGCCGCUGGAUAAAAUGUUUUGAAGCAUUCCAUGAUCUAAGACACAUUCAGAAAAGAGCAUAGCAGCUAAGACACAUUACAUGACAGUGCUACAUAAAGAAAAGCUUGACAUAAAAAUUGCUAAGAAUAUGAAGUGUUGGUACUCUGCCAGGAAAAUAGUAGCUCUAUCAAAGAUGGCCUUUGGUUGUAACUUGUAACUGAAUUUUUUCAAAGUAGAAUGUGAUGUCUAAAGAAAGAAGUGCACUGCUGAAAGGGAGAAGAUUACGUGGAAGACUUGGCAUUGUGGAUAGCUAUUGCCGUGGGUGGAUAGCUAUUGCAUUUGAAAUUCAUAUUUGGAUUACUAAGGAGUUGCUGUUGCAUUCAUAUUUGAAUUAUGUUAUUUAGAUAAAGUUAUACCUGAUUUGGUACUUGUAUUUGAGUUUCUAGGAAGUUGAGUCCCUUUUGGAUUAUCUGUUAGUAUUCUGAAUAUUCAUAGGAGUAUCUAUUGUUAUUUGGAUUCCUAAGACUUGUAUUUAACGUAGAAUGCAAUUAAUAAAGCAGCAGAGAAUUAUUAUCCCAA